GAGAUUGAUCGUCUGGCGUAUGGACCUUCUGACUUUUAAUCAGUGGGUCGCAGGUUCGAAUCCUGCACGGCUCACCA
Molecule: transfer RNA, 77 nt
Filed under: Thioclava sediminum
Lineage: Bacteria; Pseudomonadati; Pseudomonadota; Alphaproteobacteria; Rhodobacterales; Paracoccaceae
Description: tRNA-Lys
Source: RNAcentral